Long non-coding RNA from Sebastes umbrosus (honeycomb rockfish), 484 nucleotides. RefSeq lists it as uncharacterized. The record is from RefSeq and is a predicted model, not a curated record. The transcript has 2 exons. Lineage: Eukaryota; Metazoa; Chordata; Actinopteri; Perciformes; Sebastidae.
CCCUGGCUCCACUAGGCCGCAUCCACAGCCGCGACCCUCGCGUACCUGACAGUUCACGAUGCGGGCGGUGUAGCUGGAGGUAGACGACGGUGACGGUGACGGUUGGUUCCCUCUGGAGGAGGCCUCGACAGCUCCGGGAUGCGAUAUGUGGCAGAGGAGCCGGGGACGUCACCAUCAGCCUGAGACAAAGCUGCAUCUUCCCUCCUUUGUUCUUGAUCCAGACUCUCCUGCUGACCGUCAUCUGUGCCAGAGACCUCGAGACGGGACUCAGGGUUGAGGCUACACUGUGGGGCCAACUCUGGGAACUCUGUGAAGAGCCAGUGACGGUCUUUGAAGAAACGAUUCUCAUGGACUGUGUAAAAACUGUUCCAAAACUCAUUUGCCUGGUUGUCGUAUUCCUCUGGGAAAAAAAGGUAAACAGUAAAAAGUUUAAGUCAUAAUCAAGCACAUCUUGCCAUGAUUAAAAAUCAACAACGACAAAGUC